UUCCGACAGAAAUAAGCAAGAUAGUGA
Molecule: small RNA, 27 nt
Filed under: Bombyx mori (domestic silkworm)
Lineage: Eukaryota; Metazoa; Arthropoda; Insecta; Lepidoptera; Bombycidae
Description: ovarian small RNA-9582
Source: RNAcentral